RNAcentral lists this ribosomal RNA (698 nucleotides) under Bacidina flavoleprosa. RNAcentral's name for it is "eukaryotic LSU rRNA". The stretch from base 244 to 397 matches the Rfam family "5.8S ribosomal RNA". The record is from RNAcentral. Lineage: Eukaryota; Fungi; Ascomycota; Lecanoromycetes; Lecanorales; Ramalinaceae.
UAGAGGAAGUAAAAGUCGUAACAAGGUUUCCGUAGGUGAACCUGCGGAAGGAUCAUUAAAGAGAGGAGCUCCGCGCUCCAGGGGGUUCGCCUCCGCCUCUCCACCCUGUGAAAACAUACCUUUGUUGCUUUGGCGGGCCUUGGGGUCAUGCCCAUGCCGGGCUUUUGCCUGGCGAGCGCCCGCCGAAAGCCCACCAAAACUCGUUUAAUUUAUGCAGUCAGAGUCUAAACACAAAUAAAGCAAAACUUUCAACAACGGAUCUCUUGGUUCUGGCAUCGAUGAAGAACGCAGCGAAAUGCGAUAAGUAAUGUGAAUUGCAGAAUUCAGUGAAUCAUCGAAUCUUUGAACGCACAUUGCGCCCCUUGGUAUUCCGGGGGGCAUACCUGUUCGAGCGUCAUUACACCUCUCAAGCGUAGCUUGGUAUUGGGCCUCGCUCCCUCAAAAGGGCGUGCCUGAAAAGUAGUGGCGGUCCGGCGUGGCCUUGAACGUAGUAAAUUUUCUCCCGUUCUGAAGGUCCGCGUCGCGGCUGGCCAGAAUCGCCCACAUUUUCAAGAAUUGACCUCGGAUCAGGUAGGGAUACCCGCUGAACUUAAGCAUAUCAAUAAGCGGAGGAAAAGAAACCAACAGGGAUUGCCUCAGUAACGGCGAGUGAAGCGGCAUCAGCUCAAAUUUGAAAUCUGGCUCCCGAUCGGGGUCCA